CCUCCUUAAACGAUACUUCGCUCAUCUCAGCUAAGUGCUCACACGAAAUUGUCUGAACAGAUUGUAGAGAUCUGACGUAGGUCUGUAGCUCAGCUGGUUAGAGCGCUCGCCUGAUAAGCGGGAGGUCGGUAGUUCAAGUCUGCCCAGACCUACCAACGUUAGAAAGAAAUGGGGCUAUAGCUCAGCUGGGAGAGCGCCUGCCUUGCACGCAGGAGGUCUGCGGUUCGAUCCCGCAUAGCUCCACCACUUCUUUCCUGAAUCAGAAAUCAGAAAUAAAUAUUUUGUUUUUGCAGCUUAUUUAUUUCUGAUUUUUUAGUCAGAUUGUUCUUUAAAAAAUUUGGAUACAUGAGAAUUGAGAUUCUCAAGCGAACCGGCGGUUGCUUGAUCGGAUUAACGUCAAUAACUUCUCACUUUAAAGUCCUUGUACUUCAUAGCUUGUAAGUGCCCCAAACGGUUUUGGGGGUUAUAUGGUCAAGUGACUAACCGGGCCCCGGGGGAAUGCCUUGGCAAAAGGCGAAAUUCUGGCAAAAUUUCCCAUCCCAACUGG
Molecule: transfer RNA, 547 nt
Filed under: uncultured Gammaproteobacteria bacterium
Lineage: Bacteria; Pseudomonadati; Pseudomonadota; Gammaproteobacteria
Description: partial 16S-23S ribosomal RNA intergenic spacer
Rfam family: tRNA (bases 79-152)
Source: RNAcentral